Molecule: ribosomal RNA, 254 nt
Filed under: uncultured bacterium
Lineage: Bacteria
Description: partial 16S ribosomal RNA
Rfam family: Bacterial small subunit ribosomal RNA
Source: RNAcentral
UACGGAGGGUGCAAGCGUUGUCCGGAAUCAUUGGGCGUAAAGGGCGCGUAGGUGGCCCGGUCAGUUCGUGGUGAAAGCGCUGGGCUCAACCCUGCGUCGGCCAUGAAUACUGCCGCGGCUGGAGCACUGUAGAGGCAGGCGGAAUUCCGGGUGUAGCGGUGGAAUGCGUAGAGAUCCGGAAGAACACCGGUGGCGAAGGCGGCCUGCUGGGCAGUUGCUGACACUGAGGCGCGACAGCGUGGGGAGCGAACAGG